RNAcentral lists this ribosomal RNA (236 nucleotides) under uncultured bacterium. Its description in RNAcentral is "partial 16S ribosomal RNA". It matches the Rfam family "Bacterial small subunit ribosomal RNA", at positions 541 to 776 of the family's 1533-position model. The record is from RNAcentral.
UUGUUCGGAAUCACUGGGCGUAAAGGGAGCGUAGGCGGGUUCUUAAGUUAGGUGUUUAAUCCCGGGGCCCAACCCCGGACCGGCACUUAAAACUGGGAAUCUUGAAUAGUGGAGAGGUCAGUGGAAUUGGGGGUGUAGCGGUGGAAUGCGUAGAGAUCCCCAAGAACACCAGUUGCGAAGGCGGCUGACUGGACACAUAUUGACGCUGAGGCUCGAAAGCAUGGGGAGCAAACAGG